CAAUAGCGUAUAUUAAAGUUGUUGCAGUUAAAAAGCUCGUAGUUGGAUUUCGGGGCAGCCUGGCUGGUCCGCAGCAAGGCGAGUACUGGUCAGCCGCCCUUCCUCUCGAAAGCCCCGACUGCUCUUCGUUGCAGUGGUCGGGUAGUUCGGGACGUUUACUUUGAAAAAAUUAGAGUGUUCAAGGCAGGCCUACGCCUGAAUACAUUAGCAUGGAAUAAUGGAAGAGGACCUCGGUCCUAUUUUGUUGGUUUCCAGGGCCGAAGUAAUGAUUAAGAGGGACAGUUGGGGGCAUUCGUAUUUAAUUGUCAGAGGUGAAAUUCUCGGAUUUAUGAAAGACGAACAACUGCGAAAGCAUUUGCCAAGGAUGUUUUCAUUAA
Molecule: ribosomal RNA, 377 nt
Filed under: uncultured eukaryote
Lineage: Eukaryota
Description: partial 18S ribosomal RNA
Rfam family: Eukaryotic small subunit ribosomal RNA
Source: RNAcentral